UACAGAGGGCCCAAGCGUUGUCCGGAAUCAUUGGGCGUAAAGAGCGUGUAGGCGGCCCGGUAAGUCCGCUGUGAAAGUCGGGGGCUCAACCCUCGAAUGCCGGUGGAUACUGUCGGGCUAGAGUGCGGAAGAGGCGAGUGGAAUUCCUGGUGUAGCGGUGAAAUGCGCAGAUAUCAGGAGGAACACCAAUUGCGAAGGCAGCUCGCUGGGACGUAACUGACGCUGAGACGCGAAAGCGUGGGGAGCAAACAGG
This 253-nucleotide ribosomal RNA is filed under the name uncultured bacterium. Its description in RNAcentral is "partial 16S ribosomal RNA". It matches the Rfam family "Bacterial small subunit ribosomal RNA", at positions 524 to 776 of the family's 1533-position model. The record is from RNAcentral.